RNAcentral lists this ribosomal RNA (420 nucleotides) under uncultured bacterium. RNAcentral describes it as "bacterial SSU rRNA". It matches the Rfam family "Bacterial small subunit ribosomal RNA", at positions 355 to 792 of the family's 1533-position model. The record is from RNAcentral.
UGGGGAAUAUUGCACAAUGGGGGAAACCCUGAUGCAGCGACGCCGCGUGAGCGAAGAAGUAUUUCGGUAUGUAAAGCUCUAUCAGCAGGGAAGAAAAUGACGGUACCUGACUAAGAAGCCCCGGCUAACUACGUGCCAGCAGCCGCGGUAAUACGUAGGGGGCAAGCGUUAUCCGGAUUUACUGGGUGUAAAGGGAGCGUAGACGGAGCAGCAAGUCUGAUGUGAAAACCCGGGGCUCAACCCCGGGACUGCAUUGGAAACUGUUGAUCUGGAGUGCCGGAGAGGUAAGCGGAAUUCCUAGUGUAGCGGUGAAAUGCGUAGAUAUUAGGAGGAACACCAGUGGCGAAGGCGGCUUACUGGACGGUAACUGACGUUGAGGCUCGAAAGCGUGGGGAGCAAACAGGAUUAGAUACCCUGGUA